GGUAGGUUGGCCGAGUGGCAAGGCACUCCUCUGCUAAGGGAGCGAGGUGACGAUCAGCGAUGACGCGCGCGUUCGAUCCGGCACCUACCUCCA
Molecule: transfer RNA, 93 nt
Filed under: Pseudomonadota bacterium
Lineage: Bacteria; Pseudomonadati; Pseudomonadota
Also listed under: 1 other name
Description: tRNA-Ser
Rfam family: tRNA
About the family: Transfer RNA (tRNA) molecules are approximately 80 nucleotides in length. Their secondary structure includes four short double-helical elements and three loops (D, anti-codon, and T loops).
Source: RNAcentral